GUGCUUGCUUGUUGAAACAAAAAGAAAAUAAAAUAUUAAAAGGAAAAAGGGUUUUGUAAUUUUCAAGAGAAACCACCCAAAACCCCCCUACGCACUGCUGCUUAAUCCACCACCAAAUGCCCAAAUUCAAGAUCCUAAGCAAUCUCGUCCGUGCAGCCAUCAAAACCACCACCGCCUCCACCACCACCGCCAGUGACACGACUUUCAAAAGCCUCGUCAGCCAUUUCGAAUCCAUAACACCCCCCAAACCAGAAACUUCUUCCAAGUCCAAAAAACAACCUGAAACUAAACCCCAAUCUCCUCCGUCACCCGCGGUUAAAUCUAGCCCUGGUGCUCUUGGAUUAGAAGACUUUUAUUCUGAAACAAUCCCGACAGCAAAAGACAUGGCAAAGACAGCAAAAGUCAUAGAAAAGAUUAUAAAUGAUGUUUUGAAAAUUAAAUCGCUAGGUUUGGAAGAAGCAGAUGAUGAGAAAGUUGUAGAAAACGUUUUCAAGACACCAUGGCUUUCAAACUGGAAGAAAAACAAUAUAGGUAUACAGCGGAAAGAAAUAUCUUAUGAAAGGAAACAAAAAUGGAUUUUCAAAAAUAGUCAGGUCUAUUGUUUUGACCGAUUAGUUGACACAUGUGCCUUCAAGCUGGGGACAGAUGCUACAAUGGAUGUGUUUGGAAUGUUGGGAAGGGAAACAGGUUUGAAAGAGUUCAAUGCAUUGAUGAAGAUGUGCAUUGAGCAAUGUAGGGAAACUGAUGAUGAGAAUGUUGCGAAGGAACAGAUUUCUGAAGUUCUUGAACUUUUUAUAUCAAUGAAGGAGCAAGGUUUCCCAAUAGAGGAGGAAACUUAUGGUCCAUUUCUUAUGCUUUUAAUUGAUAAGGGUAUGGUGGAAGAAUUUUAUUUCUUCUAUGGCAUUAUCAAAGAUACAAAUCCUAGCGAAAUUGCACGAUUAGGCUAUUAUGAUAUGUGUUUUUAUAUCAGAGUCAAUGAUGAAAAGAAGAUUCAGGAACUUUGCAAUUGUAUUUGUACUGAUUAUGGGGACGAGAAUAUCAGUUUACGAGAAAAUUAUUUACUGGCACUCUGUGAAAGUGACCAGAAGAAUUACCUGUUGCAGCUGUUAGAGACUGUGGAUAUCACAAAACUUUCAUUGUUGGGCAAUGCAGUCAGUAUCUUUAAAUCCUUAGGGAGGCUAUCAUUGGAGUACUAUGUGGAGAAGUUCCUUUUGGUGCUCAAAAAUUGUGAUUAUGGAGCGGAGGAUAUUUCAACUCUCAUCUUUAGUUAUGCUACUAGCAUUCCAAAUUUAGCGGUUGAGGAUGUUGUUUCAAAAUUCAAAACCUUACACACAGUAAUGGAGAUGAGUCCUUCUUCAACUUCAUAUGAGAGGCUCAUUGUAUACAGUUGCAAUUCACUUAAGGUGCAUCAUGCUAUUGAUAUGGUAGACCAACUGUGUGAAGAGGGUUUCACCAUAUCCAUAAACACAAUACAUUCUAUGUUGAAUGCUAGUGAGGCAAGCCUUGAUUUUAAUUUGUUCAGUUCUCUUGAUUCAACAAGCAAGACAGCCUUUUGCUUUCAUGUUCAGCGAAUCUAUUCAUUGAUUUAUCACCUGGACUUGACACCAACUAAUGAGACAUUUAGGAGAAUGAUAGGUUUGAGUGUGAAAAUGAAAGAUUUUGAUGGUGCAAUUGGUCUGCUCAAUGAUUUGAAGAAAUUGAAUUUGACACCGACAGCUGGCAUGUAUAAUGCUAUAAUGGAUGGAUAUUUUCGAGAGAAAAACAUUAGUGGUGCAUUAAUGGUUCUGGAGCAAAUGAAACUUGCAGAUGUGAAACCAGAUUCUGCAACUUACAGUUGUUUAAUAAGUAAUUGCGACAAUGAAGAUCAAAUUACCAAGGUAAUUUGAGACUUAUAUUUUAGUCAAGUGUUAUGAAGAAAUGAAGGUUGCUGGAAUUCAAGUUUCGAAGCAAAGUAUAUAUGGCGCUCAUUGAUGCAUAUGCAACAUGUGGGAAAUUUGAGAAGGCCAAACAGGCAAAGCAAGGCUAAAGAGUCUAGAUUUGUUAUGCGCAAGAUUCAUCGGCAACAACCCAGCAAAAGGGUGGGUAAGUUACGGUGUCCAAAAAGCAACAAUGGCAGGUUAAACAGAGCAAUGAAGGCAACAUCAAAAUCAAUUAUGAAAGUGCAAAGAGUUUGCUCAAUUUUCUCUGCAGGUGAUUUGCUCAAGCUUGCUGACAACAUCUGUAAGCAACGCAACAAAGGGUGAACAGCUAGCAAUCCUGCAACUAAGGAAAAAUGAAAGUUCGAGGAAGAGAUCCAAAGAUGUAUCUCAUGAAACAAGUGAUUAAUAUAUGACAAAAACCCUCAAGCAAGAUGGGAAAAGCAUGUGUGAACAAGCAGUGAAAGCAUAGAGUGACAUUGUAUAAGCAGUGUUGUUGCAAAUGGAAAAGCAUUUCCCUUCUAUAAGUA
Molecule: RNA transcript, 2446 nt
Organism: Populus trichocarpa (black cottonwood)
Lineage: Eukaryota; Viridiplantae; Streptophyta; Magnoliopsida; Malpighiales; Salicaceae
Gene name: pentatricopeptide repeat-containing protein At4g04790, mitochondrial
Exons: 13
Source: RefSeq, a predicted model, not a curated record